AUAUAUUAAUCUUAUACUUUAUAUCUUUAAAUUUGCAAUUUAAUAUUUUUUUUUUAAACUAUAAUAUA
This 68-nucleotide transfer RNA is filed under the name Pheidole oxyops. Its description in RNAcentral is "tRNA-Cys". Lineage: Eukaryota; Metazoa; Arthropoda; Insecta; Hymenoptera; Formicidae. The record is from RNAcentral.